CAGCCGCCGCGGUAAUACGUAGGCGGCAAGCGUUGUCCGGAAUUAUUGGGCGUAAAGCGCGCGCAGGUGGUUUAAUAAGUCUGAUGUGAAUGCCCACGGCUCAACCGUGGAGGGUCAUUGGAAACUGUUAAACUUGAGUGCAGGAGAGAAAAGUGGAAUUCCUAGUGUAGCGGUGAAAUGCGUAGAUAUAUGGAGGAACACCGGUGGCGAAAGCGGCUCUCUGGCUUGUAACUGACGCUGAGGCUCGAAAGCGUGGGGAGCAAACAGGAUUAGAUACCCGCGUAGUCCCUGUCUCUUAUAC
Molecule: ribosomal RNA, 301 nt
Filed under: uncultured bacterium
Lineage: Bacteria
Description: partial 16S ribosomal RNA
Rfam family: Bacterial small subunit ribosomal RNA
Source: RNAcentral